CUACCGCUCCAAUGCGCUCUAAAAUUUAGUAGGGUUCAUAGAACCAAGGUGAAACUUUAUAGAUACUCUAGUCUAGAUUGAUGUUUGCUUAUAUGGCUGGAGUCGUAGGAAGACCCAAUCUCCUACUGAAAAUUCUCUUUCGCCUUUGCGUUGAUCAUAUUAUUGUUUCAUCCUUUCUUGAGCUAUAGUGAGAUUAUCUUUUAGCAACUUUAGAAUUUUAUC
This 222-nucleotide long non-coding RNA is filed under the name Musa acuminata (dwarf banana). Its description in RNAcentral is "long non-coding RNA (MACU_LNC005795)". Lineage: Eukaryota; Viridiplantae; Streptophyta; Magnoliopsida; Zingiberales; Musaceae. The record is from RNAcentral.